RNAcentral lists this ribosomal RNA (253 nucleotides) under uncultured bacterium. Its description in RNAcentral is "partial 16S ribosomal RNA". It matches the Rfam family "Bacterial small subunit ribosomal RNA", at positions 524 to 776 of the family's 1533-position model. The record is from RNAcentral.
UACGAGGACCCCGAGCGUUAUCCGGAAUUACUGGGCGUAAAACGUGAGCAUCCGGUUGUGCUAGUCUUAUGUUAAAUCUCAUUGCUCAACGAUGAGACUGCGUGAGAAACGGCACGACUAGAGUGGGUAAGAGGCAAGCGGAACGUGCGGUGUAGGGGUGAAAUCCAUCGAUAUUGCACGGAACACCAAAAGCGAAAGCAGCUUGCUAGUGCUCUACUGACGGUCAAUCACUAAAGCGUGGGGAUCAAAAAGG